UUGCUCACCUCUGAAUCUUUUAAGGAUUCUUUCCCUGCUUUGGGUUACUUCCCAUUUCAAGACAUUUCCAGAGAAUAUCAGAAGAUUUAUAAAAAAAAACUGCAGUUUCUCAAGGAUAUGCUUUAAUAACUGCAGUCAUUUAUUCAGGUUUGGUUGUGCAUAACUGGCAUAAAUAUGAAGCCAUCCAGAGCACUACUGAUAGUGUUGUUAUGGUGUUGUCUUGGGCAUCCCAGCUCUUUUUUCUGCUUCUGCUGUUCCUCUUGAGCUUCCAUCAUAAAGGAUCCCCGAACAACAUAUAUACCUGUAUAUGCAUAAACAAUUUAUUUAGGAUAUUCAUGAUUAUGACUUGGUAUUCUUUGAAAAGUAUAGCCAAUAUUGUCCUGGGAUUUAUUUUGUUGCUGCCUCUAUGCUGGUUAUGUUUUCAGCAGGGGGUUCCAUGCUACAAGAGGUGAUCAUGACAGGCUACAAGAGGUGAUCACUUGAGGCAGCACCUAUGAUGCUUCACAGAAAAGAAGAGGUGAUCCACUACCGUAGGAUCUGCCAUUAAGAAUGUUGGUGCUAUCAAACCUUUUCCCCUCUUGUUGUGGACAUAAGGGAAUAUUUUUUUCCUUAUUUCAGGCAACGAAGGCAAAUCCUUAAUGCCAUUUUAAUUUAAUCUCAAUUUUACCAGGGACUUCACGUUUGCUUGGCGAUCAGUUUCAGAUUUAUAGGCCAUUCUCCAUUCAAAAGCCUGGUCUUCUAUGACUGGACAUAAACAAAACUUUGCAAUUUGUGCCAAAACCUUCUAUAGCAUUUUGUCUUUUGCAGUUUUGCUCUGGAUAUCAGUUCUGUGUAUCUUGGAGUUCCUAAGUACAGUAAUAUCAGUCUAUCUUCAUAAUGAAUUAUUGGAAGGUGAUAAAGAACGUGUGGCAUUGACCUGUGCUACUAAGUAUCUCCACAUUUUGUCUUUGACUGCAUGCUUUAAAUAUCUUGAUCAUUUACGUGGUACAGUAUUAGUUAUUUUGAUCAUGUUCACAUAUUUUUCAGUAAUUAUGCAGCUAUAUUUACACAUGAAUGCCUGAAAUUCUGAGUUAAUCUGUAUAUUCAAGUGGUAGAUUUGUUUUGUAAUUGUCACGGUGCCAUCCCCCUGCAGGUACAUGCUAGCAUGCAGUGGUGGUUGAGCAUGGGACAUUUGUUUAUGUUUUGGUUUCACUUCUUCUUGUCUUUGUUUUAAACAUGUCUUACUCAGGUGGUGUGUGUUCUGCCUCAUCGUGCACACCACCUAGGGGUUGUUAUGUCAUAAUAAAAGGAAAGAAAGACACUGAGUUAAUUAGUUCAUAACUUUCAACUCUUUUAUUUGGCUCAUGGCCUGUGUAUUUGAAUCUGUCAUUCAUAGACACAUUAGUAUUUUCCCCUAGAUGAUUUAUGGGCUAAUAUUCAUUUUCCAUAUUUUAACUUUACCUCUGAUGCUUAUGUUUCCCAGGAUAUUCAUUUGUUGUGAAAUUGCACAUUUUAUUCACUCCCAUGAGCUCCACUAUUAAUUUAACUCUUUUUCCUUCACACAUCUCGCUUUAACACAGAAUCGAAUUCUAUCAACACCAGGACUUGGCUAGUAUGGGGAUCUAAUUCUAAUGACACUGAGACAGAACAAUCACCAGGUUUCAGAAAUAUGCUGCUCUGUCUGUAACAAUAGCCUGAUGGUCAGAUCAGGACUGAUCAGGAGACAUCAGGAGACAUCCAACUUCAGCAGUUUCACUAUUGAGCUCCAAACUAAACCUCAUGGCAAUUAUAUACAAUUGUAUACAUGCUUGGGGCAGUCGGGCUCAUUUGUGUGAACUCCAUCUCAUUAAUAGCAGAACUGAUCCUGAAAACACGUGAGAAAUGGUGAACGCACACUGACGGAUCUGAGAGUGAUUCUUCUGCCAUCUGAAUGUGUCUUUGCCAUAUGCUGUCUUGCUUUAGCAAUAUCUGCAUUCUGGAGGAAGGAAAAAGAAAGAUUAAAAAACCACAUAAACUACUGGCGUCAUUUGUGCAGACGUACACAGACAUCAAGGGACCCACCAGUAGAAAACCAUGAAUUGGAGAAUCCUGCUGUUCCUGCUUCUCAGCAGAGGUCAUAGGAGGUCAUGCCCACU
This is a non-coding RNA of Electrophorus electricus (electric eel), 2114 nucleotides long. Lineage: Eukaryota; Metazoa; Chordata; Actinopteri; Gymnotiformes; Gymnotidae. The record is from RefSeq and is a predicted model, not a curated record.